This 21822-nucleotide long non-coding RNA is filed under the name Manihot esculenta (cassava). Its description in RNAcentral is "long non-coding RNA (MESC_LNC003831)". Lineage: Eukaryota; Viridiplantae; Streptophyta; Magnoliopsida; Malpighiales; Euphorbiaceae. The record is from RNAcentral.
GAUGUGAGAAAUGCAAGCCCAAUCCGCACCCUUUCUAUUUCCACAUCUUUCCUUCAAUUGGGGACAGUCAUUGAUAUUCAAUUCUCGUAACGAGGUGAGGGAACGCAUCUCUUGAGGCAGACACUUUAUUGCCGGACAAAUCUCAAUGGUUAGUCUUUGAAGACAAGUGAGAUUCCGCAGUCCAUCUGGAGGUAGAGAUUCGAGCUCUUUAAUGUCCCUAAUCCGAAGGAUCUUCAAUUUAGAGAGAGGAGGAACGAUUGAGGAAGAAGAAGAGAUUGAUGGUGUGAAUAUUUGGUGCACAAGUUGUGGGCUUGCGUACCGCAAAGAUAGUGAAUGAUCGAGAGAUGGAAACUGAGGGAUGGAGGUCAAAUUAGGGCAGUCCUCACAAACGAAAUAUGAAAGACAAGGAAAUUGGAGUAGCUCAAGAGCUGUCGAAUCAUCCUCCUUCUUCUUCUGCCAUCCUUUAAGCUUAGGACAACGAUAUAGCUCGAGAGUCUUUAGGGAUGGAAAGAAUGAUGUUGGUUGUUCCUCAAUCUCCAUGUAUUCUAAAUCAUCUACUCCCCAAAUCUCUAGAUAUUGAAGAGAAGGGAUUUGAUCCAUUGGUGGGAGAUGCUGAUAUCUCUUGCAAUUCCAUAUACAGAGAUAGACAAGAUUCGUGAGGGAAGAGAACCAACUUGGGAACCUCCUGCCUCCAUAGUUAAGCACGCGUAACUCUUUAAGAUUGGGAUGUGGUUGGAGAUUUUGGAAUGCCAUUUCAUCUCUAUCAACAUUUGAAUCUUCCCAACUCUCCUCCCAACUUAAUUUCAAUGAUUGAAUGAGUGGCUUCUCUUUCAAAUUAACAUUUACAAUCUCAUUAUCCACACAUCCCAGAUUUCUAAUUGCAAGACGUCCCCUCAAAUUGCUAAGCUUAUUCAAUUCAUUUAUUUUUCCAACAUCCUUUGAGGAAAUAUGCCCUUUUGCCACUACGAACAGUGACAACGUCUGAAGUGAAGUCAACUGCCCAAGCCCACGUGGCAUAUGAGUCAAAGAGUAACAACCUUCACAAUAUAAAUGCCUAAGAUUCACAAGCUUUUUAAUAUCUUUAGGCAAUUCUUUGAGCUGGACACAAUAAGAGACAUCGAAUACUUGUAAAUUCAGCAAAUCCGUAAUAGAAUGUGAAAGUGCUUUAAGUCCCUUGUUAUCGGAAACAUCAAGAUAUCUUAUAUAUUUUAGCAUUUUUAUAGAAUUAUCCACCGUUUUAUAUGAAUGCAUUGUAAAUACACGUAAAAAUUUUAAAUUUUUAUAAAUAAAUAACUGAUCGUAAUCAUAUUUCUCAAGAAAAAGAAGCGAUCGUAGUCUUUUUGUGUUAUUAAGAAUUUCUUUUGAUGCAACAUCCAAAUUCAAUGCUAAAUGAUGGAUUUUAUCAUCAAUAUUUGAUGCAUCAGAAUUUACUAGCUGAAUUCUCUUCCCACCCACUGUGGUUGCGAGAUCGUGCAUUAAAUCAUGCAUUUUACAGCUUUCUACAUUUCCACAUCUAUCUCUUUUCACCUCUUGAAAAAAUGACCUCCACCACAGUUUCAUAAAAUAUUCAAGCCCAAUAUCUUCAAGACAAUCACUCCAACUUGGUGACUCAAUAAACCCUUGUGCAAUCCAAAGAUGGAUUAAUCUUUUCACAUCAAUCACAUAAUCUUUUGGAUAUAUUGCGCAAUAUGCAAAACAAUGCUUCAAAUGUGAUGGGAGAUGAUCAUAACUUAGCUUCAGUGUUGGCAUAAUAUCAUUACCAUCUUGACUUAUUCUUGAGAGUUCUUUUGUUAAAAAGGGCAGCCACUCAGUUUCUGGAUUUUUCGCAUACAAGAGACUUGCGAUAGUUUUUAUUGCAAGAGGAACUCCAUGACAUUUCUUCAAAAUCUCCUUUCCCAUCUCUCUUACAUUUGCAUGUUUUGGCUCCUGCCCCUCAAGUGCUACAUGCAAAAACAAAGACCAAGACUCAUCCGGAGACAACCCUUCCAAAACAUGUGGUGCUAUUGUGCCAGAUAUAUCUGCCACCAUUUUAGAGCGAGUGGUUAUUAAUAUCUUACUUCCACUAGAGCCACCCACUAAUAAUCUCUUUAAAUUCUGCCAUUUUUCUCUAUUCUCAUUCCACACAUCAUCUAGAACAAGCAGAUAUUUCUUCCCACUAAAAAUUUUUUCCAGUCUAGACUUCAAUGCUUCUAACCCAAGAUCUUCCGAUCUAUUCCCUGUUGCAGACUCUAGAAUCUUUCCAACAGUCAUUUUCACAUCAAAAGGUUCUGAAACACACACCCAUAUUCUUGGCUCAAAUGAAUUCUUAAUCAAUUCAUCAUUCAAUAUGAUUUGAGCAAGAGUGGUCUUCCCUAAUCCUCCAAUUCCAACAAUUGAGAGGACUGAAACACACUCUUCACCAUUGGAAGACAAUACAAGUUGUGUAAUUGCCUUUUUGUCACCCUCUCUCCCAAUAACCACUUCAGGUAAAGAGGACGUAGUUUGAUCCCUCCAUACAAUACUCUCCUGAUCAGUACGAACCUCUAAAUUAAAUUUUCUGUCAGCUUCAAUAUCAGCUAGCCUCUCCCUAAUCGCCUUAACUUUAUGACCCAUUUUAAAACCAUAAACAAGUUUAUUUGAAGACGAAAAGAAGAGACUUACCUCCUUUGUCAUUCUAUUUCCAGUCAUCACUCGGCGCCUUAGGGCUUCUGUGGCGAAGUCAUCUACCAAGUCAUCAGCAUCAUAAACCACUUCUUCUAGCCUCUCAAGCCAGCCUUUCACUUGACGGUUAAGUUUCUGCUGCUCCUCAGCAUCCAGAAGAACGUUGCGAAUACUAGAAACUGUGGCCUCAAGUUUCUUAAGCUCACCUUUGACGCCCCACCACAAUCCGAUCUCAUGAAGGGCUCGAGAACCCAGCUUGGUAAUGAUAUCUAUGACAACGUUAGAGAGAACUCCGUCGGCCAUUUUGGGUGUUUUGGUUUGAUUGUAAAAGGAUGAAAUGUUGCUGUGAAGAAGAAGAUGGUGACAACAAAUGACUAAUUUAAAGAAAAAAAAAAGUGAAGGAAAAAGCAUUCUUCUAAAUAAUUAUCUUCAGUCGGUCAGCUUUGGUGGGCGGUGGUUUGCUUUAAUUUAAAAAGUAAAAUAUAUUAAUAAAUUUAUAUAUAGAAUGAAAGUAAGUUAUGUUUUUUUUAAAAUAAUUUUAUUUUUUUAUUUAAAAAAUAUUUUUUAUUAAAUAAAUUUUGAGUGAUUCAAAUCGUUAAAAAAUAUAAAAUAUAUUUUUAAUGUUAAUGAAUUUUGGUUAUUGAAAUGAAAGUAUUUUUAUAUAUUUGUAUGAUGAUAUAAAAUUAUAUCAGGUGUAACAUGUAUAAUAGAUUUAUUAUGAGUUUUAAAGAUUUUAAAUGGAUCUGAAUUUCAAUACUGUAGCGAUUUGAUUUUUGAAUCGUUAUAGAAAUAACCGGUUGAUUUUAUGAAUUCUAGUACUGUAGCGAUUCGAUUUUUAAAUCGUCAUAGGAACAAUAAUCAUUAUAGGAACAAUAGGUUGAUUUUAUUUUUUGGGUAACAGAAUCUCAAGAGUAUCCUAUUGCAUAUUAUAGAUCCAUCGAUGUUAGAGAUGUUGUGUAUGCACACAUUCAAGAUUUGGAGAUUCCUUCUCUUCUGAGGUUCUAAAGAUUGUGUCAGCAACAUUAUCCUACAUUGCACCUUUCAAAAAAGUAUGAUUUUUUUUAUAUUUUUGCAUGCUCAUUUUGAACCAGCUAUAUAAAUGCUAAGAUCUAUAAUUAUUCGGAUAAUUGAGAAAUAGUUGUUUUGAAUGAUUAAUUUGAUCAUGGAAUAUAAUCUGAGUUGCAGAUGUGGCUCUAGAUUGAAUUACUUAACAAAGUAUGAGGUAUCAAAGGAAAAAGCGAAAACUUUGGGCAUUGACUUCAUUCCUUUGGAGGUUAGUUUGAAGGACACUAUUGAAAGCUUGAAGCAGAAGGGCUUCCUCAGCAUUUGAUUUUGGCUGUUGGAUAAAAAGCAAUGCAAAUAUUACAUUGGCCUUAGCUUCCUAUUGGUGCAAGAUCUUAUUGCCCUUCAAGAUUGUCUUUAUUUGAAAAAAGUGGACCAAUACAAUUUAUAAAAUAUAUAACAAUUUGUAUAUAACUGUGUAUAAACAUAUUACAUGUGUCACUUGUUUUAGUGAUAGAUGAAGUUCGUUUCAGGUCUGAUUUAUGAGGAAAUUACUUUUUUUUUUUUUUUUAUCUGAUUUCAGGUCACAUUCCAAAGAAUAAGACACAAGAAAAAGAAAAUGUAUAAUCCACCAAUUCUGAUUUAGUUCGGUCUUUUCAAAGUAUAUUCAGAUUUCAUAGCCAAUUCAUUUAAUGCCGUAUCUGAUUUCUGGUUCUUGUGAUAUGCUCUUACAAAAUUCAUCUAAAAUUCAGUGCUCUUACACAUUCUGGAAACACAAUUUAUACAAAAACUGAUUUCUCAGGAAAAAAAAGGAAAAUAAUGUUAUUUGCAUUGAAUGAACAAAUGAUUAGCAUAGUAGCAAAACUACUUAAAAUAAGAGAAAUUAGAAACCAAAAAGCAGCACAGCAUGAGUCUGGGCAUUGCAUGUUGGAUGAUCGAAACAGAGGUCUUGAGUGCGAAUCUAGAUCCUGAAAUACGCAGGCCUGCAAAAAGUCAUUCGAAGAAGUGUGCAAAACUCCCAUCAUUCAGCUUUCUUUCUGCUUCCCGCUCAGCAGGAUUACUAUGUACUGAGACAGAUAGGAAACUUAUCCCGGUGAGUUUUUAUUCCGGGAUGUCAAGGGCACAAUGCGCAGCUUAGUGAAUCUCCAUCAUCUUUGCCACAGGUGUAAGUUAUGAAGAUAGUUGCUAGAUGGAGGAUUUUCACACUAGUGAUUAAGCAUCUGUUUCAAGCCAGAAUCAUCAUUAAAUCACAGAUUUGCUUUACAAGCAAUAACUAGAGGGAUUUCAUAUUACAAGUAGAGUCUUUAUAACCUACUGAAUCGCUUAUUUGCGAAGACAGAAGAAAAGGAGAGCUCACGUUUUGUUUUUACUGCACAAAUACUGCAUAUGGAAUCUGAGUGAGAAGUUACUCCCUAAAAAUUUCAAAAGUGUUUUUGAGAGGUACCUUUGCGCGAAUCUUCUGGCAACAGACCCAAAGAAGUCAUCCAAUAAGUAGAAAUUCUUCUAUGGAAGGCCACACACAUUAAUAGCAGUUCUUUCAAGGCGAAUUAUGCCAAGCCAAUCAAGGAAUUGCUGCCAUGGCAUGUAGUUGUGGUUUCUUAAUGUGUUCGAGUAACUUCUGCACAAGGAAUCAAAUUAAUCUUUAAAUCCGUGAAAUUAAAAGGGAUGCAGAAUUACAAAACUAAUAAUAAGAACAAUAAUAAUAAGAUGGAUAGAAGCAUGACCUGCCAAUGCAUGAUUUCGGCAAGCCUUUGCUUUGGUUCACCACUUCCCAAUGUAGUAAGAAUUUCAACAGCAUCCCAGAAUUUCAAUAGCAUCCCAAUGAUAACUCAUACUUGAUGAGCCUUGAUGGAGAAAUGAAAGUCCAGUUAAAAUUAUUCAAAAUGCAUAUCCACUCGCCAAGAACAUAUGCACCCAGAAAUCUCCUUAAAUAAAUAAGGUUUUAACAAGGUGAAUGCUUUGCUUUUUCUUUUUUUGGGAAGAACUUCAAAGUAAACAAAGGUAAGACUGUUGGGUUUUGAUGUUUACCUUGUGUGGGAGAAAUAUGAUGUUUACCCAGAAAUCACAUUUUUGUUUUCAGAAUAAAUGGUUUUUUCCACCUCUGCAUUUGACAUUGAAAAAACUUGAAUAAAUACCAAAUAAUUAAGAAAUGCUGCUGAUUUAAUUUACAAAGGAAUGGUGCAUGUGAAGAGAAAUUGACAUAUGACAAUCACAUUCAGCACAAUCAAUUCUCAUCCUAAUUUAGAAGACUAAUCAAACUAACUGCAGCAAUAACAUCUUUUCCACGAAGUCUACUAACUUCUGCACAUAGAGUCAAAAUUAAUCCGUUAUAUCCAUGAAAAGAAUGAAGGCAGAAUUACAUUAAAAAAUGAAUAAAAAUGAUGGUUAAAAGAAUGACCUGCCAAUGCAUUUAAAAUCUCUUUGAAUUUGUUUCCCACAUCCCAAUUUAUUAGAAUUUCAGGUGAGUAAAAAAAGAAAAAAAUGAUUCCUCUAGCUUGAUGAGCCUGUAUAUGUGGGAAAAAAGUGUUAAAAUAUUAUCAUAAAGCAAACAAAUUCUCAAUUACACAAAAAAUAAAAGAAAGAAAAGGUACGCUGUAUAUUGAUCUUGAUUGUAAAGAAAUAAUGACAAAAGGAUACUUACAACUCAAAGGUAAUACACUGCUCAUUUUGGAAGAAACACAUCCAACACUUCAAAACUUAUCCUUCAUUGAUCUGUGUAAAUAGAAUCAUAGAGUGAAGAUUUUCUCAUGUAAGUUUAGUUUGCAAAUUGGAGAGAAAAAGGACCAACUUACCGAAGCUUCAUCAUCCAGUAGAUAGCGGCCCUCUCUUUGAAUUCUUUGGUUAUCAACUUCAAUAUUUGGGAUGUGAGAAAUGAAAGCCCAAUCCGCACCCUUUCUAUUUCCACAUCUUUCCUUCAAUUGGGGACAGUCAUCGAUAUCCAAUUCUCGUAACGAGGUGAGGGAACGCAUCUCUUGAGGCAGACACUUUAUUGCCGGACAAAUCUCAAUGGUUAGUCUUUGAAGACAAGUGAGAUUCCGCAGUCCAUCUGGAGGUAGAGAUUCGAGCUCUUUAAUGUCCCUAAUCCAAAGGUUCUUCAAUUUAGAGAGAGGAGGAAUGAUUGAGGAAGAAGAAGAGAUUGAUGGUGUGAAUAUUUGGUGCACAAGUUGUGGGCUUGCGUGCAGCAAAUGUAGUGAAUCAUCGAGAGAUGGAAACUGAGGGAUGGACUUCAAAUUAGGGCAGUCCUCACAAACGAAAUAUGAAAGACAAGGAAAUUGGAGUAGCUCAAGAGCUGUCGAAUCAUCCUCCUUCUUCUUCUGCCAUCCUUUAAGCUUAGGACAACCAUAUAGCACGAGAGUCUUUAGGGAUGGAAAGAAUGAUGUUGGUUGUCCCUCAAUCUCCAUGUAUUCUAAAUCAUCUACUCCCCAAAUCUCUAGAUAUUGAAGAGAAGGGAUUUGAUCCAUUGGUGGGAGAUGCUGAUAUCUCUUGCAAUUCCAUAUACAGAGAUAGACAAGAUUCGUGAGGGAAGAGAACCAACUUGGGAACCUCCUGCCUCCAUAGCCAAACACAAGUAACUCUUUAAGAUUGGGAUGUGGUUGGAGAUUUUGGAAUGCCAUUUCAUCUCUAUCAACAUUUGAAUCUUCCCAACUCUCCUCCCAACGUAGUUUCAAUGAUUGAAGGAGUGGCUUCUCUUUCAAAUUAACAUUUACAAUCUCAUCAUCCACACAUCCCAGAUUUCUAAUUUCAAGACGUCCCCUCAAAUUGUUAAGCUUAUUCAAUUCAUUUAUUUUUCCAACAUCCUUUGAGGAAAUAUGCCCUUUUCCCACUACGAACAGUGACAACGUCUGAAGUGAAGUCAACUGCCCAAGCCCACGUGGCAUAUGAGUCAAAGAGUUACAACCUUCACAAUAUAAAUGCCUAAGAUUCACAAGCUUUUUAAUAUCUUUAGGCAAUUCUUUGAGCUCGUCACAAUAAGAGACAUCUAAUACUUGUAAAUUCAGCAAAUCCGUAAUAGAAUUUGAAAGUGCUUUAAGUUUCUCGUUAUCGGAAACGUCAAGAUAUCUUAGAUAUUUUAGCAUUUUUAUAGAAUUAUCCAUUAUUCUAUAUGAAUGCAUAGUAAAUACACGCAAAAAUUUUAAAUUUUUAUAAAUAAAUAGCUGAUCGACAUUAUGUUCCUCAGACAAAAGAAUCGAUCGUACUCUUUUUGCAUUGUUAAGAAUUUCUUGUGGUGCAACAACUAAAUUCAAUGCUACAUGAUGGGUUUUCUCAUCAAUAUUUGGUGCAUCAGAAUUUACUAGCUGAAUCCUCUUUCCACCCACUGUGGUUGCGAGAUCGUGCAUUAAAUCAUGCAUUUUACAGCUUUCUACAUUUCCACAUCUAUCUCUUUCCACCUCUUGAAAAAAUGACCUCCACCACAGUUUCAUAAAAUAUUCAAGCCCAAUAUCUUCAAGACAAUCACUCGUACUUGGUGAUUCAAUAAACCCUUGUGCAAUCCAAAGAUGGAUUAAUGUUUUCACAUCAAUCACAUAAUCUUUUGGAUAUAUUGCGCAAUAUGCAAAACAAUGCUUCAAAUGUGAUGGGAGAUGAUCAUAACUUAGCUUCAGUGUUGGCAUAAUAUCAUUACCAUCUUGACUUAUUCUUGAGAGUUCUUUUGUUAAAAAGGGCAACCACUCAGUUUCUGGAUUUUUCGCAUACAAGAGACUUGCUAUAGUUUUUAUUGCAAGUGGAACUCCAUGACAUUUCUUCAAAAUCUCCUUUCCCAUCUCUCUUACAUUUGCAUGUUUUGGCUCCUGCCCCUUAAGUGCUACAUGCAAAAACAAAGACCAAGACUCAUCCAGAGACAACCCUUCCAAAACAUGUGGUGCUGUUGUGCCAGAUAUAUCUGCCACCUUUUUAGAGCGAGUGGUUAUUAAUAUCUUACUUCCACUAGAGCCACCCACUAAUAAUCUCUUUAAAUUCUGCCAUUUUUCUCUAUUCUCAUUCCACACAUCAUCUAGAACAAGCAGAUAUUUCUUCCCACUAAUAAUUUUUUCCAGUCUAGACUUCAAUGCUUCUAACCCAAGAUCUUCCGAUUUAUUCCCUGUUGCAGACUCUAGAAUCUUUCCAACAGUCAUUUUCACAUCAAAAGGUUCUGAAACACACACCCAUAUUCUUGGCUCAAAUGAAUUCUUAAUCAUUUCAUCAUUCAAUAUGAUUUGAGCAAGAGUGGUCUUCCCUAAUCCUCCAAUUCCAACAAUUGAGAGGACUGAAACACACUCUUCACCAUUGGAAGACAAUACAAGUUGUGUAAUUGCCUUUUUGUCACCCUCUCUCCCAAUAACCACUUCAGGUAAAGAGGACGUAGUUUGAUCCCUCCAUACAAUACUCUCCUGAUCAGUACGAACCUCUAAAUUAAAUUUUCUGUCAGCUUCAAUAUCAGCUAGCCUCUCCCUAAUCGCCUUAACUUUAUGACCCAUUUUAAAACCAUAAACAAGUUUAUUUGAAGACGAAAAGAAGAGACUUACCUCCUUUGUCAUUCUAUUUCCAGUCAUCACUCGGCGCCUUAGGGCUUCUGUGGCGAAGUCAUCUACCAAAUCAUCAGCAUCAUAAACCACUUCUUCUAGCCUCUCAAGCCAGCAUUUCACUUGACGGUUAAGUUUCUGCUGCUCCUCAGCAUCCAGAAGAACGUUGCGAAUACUAGAAACUGUGGCCUCAAGUUUCUUAAGCUCACCUUUGACGCCCCACCACAAUCCGAUCUCAUGAAGGGCUCGAGAACCCAGCUUGGUAAUGAUAUCUCCGACAACGUUAGAGAGAACUCCGUCGGNNNNNNNNNNNNNNNNNNNNNNNNNNNNNNNNNNNNNNNNNNNNNNNNNUUUAAAUAAAAAAAAAAAAAAAGAAGUGGAGGAAAAAGCGGUCCGUUAACUUUGGACGGCGCUGGUUUGCUUUAAUUUAAAAAGUAAAAUAUAUUAAUAAAUUUAUAUAUAGAAUGAAAGUUAGUUAUUUUUUAUAAAAUAAUUUUAUUUUUUAUUAAAUAAAUUUUAUGAGUGAUUUAAAUCGUUAAAAAAUAUAAAAUAUAUUUUUGAUGUUACUAAAAUUUUGUUAUUGAAAUGAAAGUAUUUUUAUAUAUUUUGUGAUGAUGUAUAAAGUUACAUUAGGUAUAAUAUGAUGUAUAGUAAAUUUAUUAUGAGUUUUAAUGACUUUAAAUCGAUUUAAAUUUUAAUAUUGAUAGCGGUUCAAUUUCUGAAUUAUUAUCGAAAUGUAUAGCAGGAGCUCAAGAGUAUCCUGUUGCAUAUUAUAGAUCCAUCGAUAUAAAAAAUAUGGCAUAUGCACACAUUCAGGAUUUAGAGAUUCCUUCAGCUAGUGGCAGAUAUUGUUUAAUUAAAAGAGAUGUCCACUUCUCUGAGGUUUUGAAGAUUGUGUCAGCAACAUUAUCCUACAUUGCACCUUCCAAAAAACUAUGGUUUUUUUUAUAUUUUUGCAUGCUCAUGUUGGACCAGCUAUAUGAAUGGCUAAGAUAUAUAAUUAUUUGGAUAACUGAGAAAUAGUUAUUUUGAAUGAUUAAUUUGAUCAUGGAAUAUAAUCUGAGUUGCAGAUGUGGCUCUGAAUUGAAUUACUUAACAAAGUAUGAGGUAUCAAAGAAAAAAGCGAAAACUUUGGAUAUUGAUUUCAUUCCUUUGGAGGUUAGUUGAAGGACACUAUUGAAAGCUUGAAGGAGAAGAGCCUCCUCAGCAUUUGAUUUUGGCUGUCGGAUAAAAAGCAAUGCAAAUAUUACAUUGGCCUUUCAGGUUCAUUGGCUUUAGCUUUCUAUUGGUGUAAGGUAUUAUUGCCCUUCAGAAUUGUCUUUAUUUAAAAAAAGUGAACCCAUACAAUUUGUAAAAUAUAUUAAAAUUUGUAUACAGCUGUAUAUAAACAUAUUACAUGUGUCGCUUGUUUCUGGUAGAUAAAGUUCAUUUCAGGUCUGAUUUCUGAGGAAGUUGCUCUUUUUUUUUAUCUGAUUUCAAGUCUCAUUCCAAAGAAGAAGACACAAGAAAAAGAAAAUGUGUAAUCCACCAAUUCAGAUUUAGUUCAGUCUUUUCAAAGUAUAUUCAGAUUUCAUAGCCAAUUCAUUUAAUGCUGUAUCUGAUUUCUGGUUCUUGUGAUACGCUCUUACAAAAUUCAUUUAAAAUUCAGUACUCUUACACAUUUUGGAAACACAAUUUAUACAAAAACUGAUUUCUCAGGAAAAAAAAGGAAAAUAAUGUUAUUUGCAUUGAAUGAACAAAUGAUUAGCAUAGUAGCAAAACUACUUAAAAUAAGAGAAAUUAGAAACCAAAAAGCAGCACAGCAUGAGUCUGGGCAUUGCAUGUUGGAUGAUCGAAACAGAGGUCUUGAGUGCGAAUCUAGAUCCUGAAAUACGCAGGCCUGCAAAAAGUCAUUCGAAGAAGUGUGCAAAACUCCCAUCAUUCAGCUUUCUUUCUGCUUCCCGCUCAGCAGGAUUACUAUGUACUGAGACAGAUAGGAAACUUAUCCCGGUGAGUUUUUAUUCCGGGAUGUCAAGGGCACAAUGCGCAGCUUAGUGAAUCUCCAUCAUCUUUGCCACAGGUGUAAGUUAUGAAGAUAGUUGCUAGAUGGAGGAUUUUCACACUAGUGAUUAAGCAUCUGUUUCAAGCCAGAAUCAUCAUUAAAUCACAGAUUUGCUUUACAAGCAAUAACUAGAGGGAUUUCAUAUUACAAGUAGAGUCUUUAUAACCUACUGAAUCGCUUAUUUACGAAGACAGAAGAAUAGGAGAGCUCACGUUUUGUUUUUACUGCACAAAUACUGCAUAUGGAAUCUGAGUGAGAAGUUACUCCCUAAAAAUUUCAAAAGUGUUUUUGAGAGGUACCUUUGAGCGAAUCUUCUGGCAACAGACUCAAAGAAGUCAUCCAAUAAGUAGAAAUUCUUCUAUGGAAGGCCACACACAUUAAUAGCAGUUCUUUCAAGGCGAAUUAUGCCAAGCCAAUCAAGGAAUUGCUGCCAUGGCAUGUAGUUGUGGUUUCUUAAUGUGUUCGAGUAACUUCUGCACAAGGAAUCAAAUUAAUCUUUAAAUCCGUGAAAUUAAAAGGGAUGCAGAAUUACAAAACUAAUAAUAAGAACAAUAAUAAUAAGAUGGAUAGAAGCAUGACCUGCCAAUGCAUGAUUUCGGCAAGCCUUUGCUUUGGUUCACCACUUCCCAAUGUAGUAAGAAUUUCAACAGCAUCCCAGAAUUUCAAUAGCAUCCCAAUGAUAACUCAUACUUGAUGAGCCUUGAUGGAGAAAUGAAAGUCCAGUUAAAAUUAUUCAAAAUGCAUAUCCACUCGCCAAGAACAUAUGCACCCAGAAAUCUCCUUAAAUAAAUAAGGUUUUAACAAGGUGAAUGCUUUGCUUUUUCUUUUUUUGGGAAGAACUUCAAAGUAAACAAAGGUAAGACUAUUGGGUUUUGAUGUUUACCUUGUGUGGGAGAAAUGUGAUGUUUACCCAGAAAUCACAUUUUGUUUUCAGAAUAAAUGGUUUUUUCCACCUCUGCAUUUGACAUUGAAAAAACUUGAAUAAAUACCAAAUAAUUAAGAUAUGCUGCUGAUUUAAUUUACAAAGGAAUGGCGCAUGUGAAGAGAAAUUGACAUAUGACAAUCACCUUCAGCACAAUCAAUUCUCAUCCUAAUUUAGAAGACUAAUCAAACUAAUUGCAGCAAUAACAUCUUUUCCACGAAGUCUACUAACUUCUGCACAUAGAGUCAAAAUUAAUCCGUUAUAUCCAUGAAAAGAAUGAAGGCAGAAUUACAUUAAAAAAUGAAUAAAAAUGACGGUUAAAAGAAAGACCUGCCAAUGCAUUUAAAAUCUCUUUGAAUUUGUUUCCCACAUCCCAAUUUAUUAGAAUUUCAGGUGAGUAAAAAACAAAUAAAUGAUUCCUCUAGCUUGAUGAGCCUGUACAUGUGGGAAAAAAGUGUUAAAAUAUUAUCAUAAAGCAAAUAAAUUCUCAAUUAUACAAAAAAUAAAAGAAAGAAAAGGUACUCUGUAUAUUGAUCUUGAUUGUAAAGAAAUAAUGACAAAAGGUACUCUGUAUAUUGAUCUUGAUUGUAAAGAAAUAAUGACAAAAGGAUACUUACGAACUCAAAGGUAAUACACUGCUCAUUUUGGAAGAAACACAUCCAACACUUCAAAACUUAUCCUUCAUUGAUCUGUGUAAAUAGAAUCAUAGAGUGAAGAUUUUCUCAUGUAAGUUUAAUUUGCAAAUUGGAGAGAAAAAGGACCAACUUACCGAAGCUUCAUCAUCCAGUAGAUAGCGGCCCUCUCUUUGAAUUCUUUGGUCAUCAACUUCAAUAUUUGGGAUGUGAGAAAUGAAAGCCCAAUCCGCACCCUUUCUAUUUCCACAUCUUUCCUUCAAUUGGGGACGGUCAUUGAUAUUCAAUUCUCGUAACGAGGUGAGGGAACGCAUCUCUUGAGGCAGACACUUUAUUGCCGGACAAAUCUGAAUGGUUAGUCUUUGAAGACAAGUGAGAUUCCACAGUCCAUCUGGAGGUAGAGAUUCCAGCUCUUCAAUGUCCGUAAUCUGAAGGAUCUUCAAUUUAGAGAGAGGAGGAAUGAUUGAGGAAGAAGAAGAGAUUGAUGGUGUGAAUAUUUGGUGCACAAGUUGUGGGCUUGCGCAGUGCAAAUAUAGUGAAUGAUCGAGAGAUGGAAACUGAGGGAUGGAGUUCAAAUUAGGGCAGUCCCUACAAACGAAAUACGAAAGACAAGGAAAUUGGAGUAGCUCAAGAGCUGUCGAAUCAUCCUUCUUCUUCUGCAAUCCUUUAAGCUUAGGACAACCAUAUAGCACGAGAACCCUUAGGGAUGGAAAGAAUGAUGUUGCUUGUCCCUCAAUCUCAAUGUACUCUAAAUCAUCUACUUCACGAAUAUGUAGAUAUUGAAGAGAAGGGAUUUGAUCCAUUGGUGGGAGAUGCUGAUAUCUAUUGCAAUUCCGUAUACAGAGAUAGACAAGAUUCGUGAGGGAAGAGAACCAACUUGGGAACCUCCUGCCUCCAUUGCCAAGCACACGUAACUCUUUAAGAUUGGGAUGCGGUUGGAGAUUUUGGAAUGCCAUUUCAUCUCUAUCAACAUUUGAAUCUUCCCAACUCUCCUCGCAACGUAAUUCCAAUGAUUGAAGGACUGGUUUCUCUUUCAUAUUAACAUUUACAAUCUCAUUAUCCACACAACCCAGAUUUAUAAUUUCAAGACGUCCCCUCAAAUUCUUAAGCUUAUUCAGUUCAUUUAUUUUUUCAACAUCCUUUGAGGAAAUAUGCCCUUUUGCCACUACGAACAGCGACAACGUCUGAAGUGAAGUCAACUGCCCAAGCCCACGUGGCAUAUGAGUCAAAGAGUAACAACCUUCACAAUAUAAAUGCCUAAGAUUUACAAGCUUUUUAAUAUCUUUAGGCAAUUCUUUGAGCUGGACACAGUAAGAGACAUCUAAUACUUGUAAAUUCAGCAAAUCGGUAAUAGAAUGUGAAAGUGCUUUAAGUCCCUUGUUAUCGGAACGUCAAGAUAUCUUAUAUAUUUUAGCAUUUUUAAAGAAUUAUCCAUCGUUGUAUAUGAAUGCAUCAUAAAUACACGUAAAAAUUUUAAAUUUUUAUAAAUAAAUAGUUGAUCGCAAUCAUAUUUCUCAAGCAAAAGAAGCGAUCGUACUCUUUUUGCGUUAUUAAGAAUUUCUUUUGAUGCAACAUCCAAAUUCAAUGCUACAUGAUGGAUUUUCUCAUUAAUAUUUAGUAUAUCAGAAUUUACUAGCUGAAUCCUCUUCCCACCCACUGUGGUUGCGAGAUCGUGCAUUAAAUCAUGCAUUUUACAGCUCUCUACAUUUCCAUAUCUAUCUCUUUCCACUUCUUGAAAAAAUGACCUCCACCACAGUUUCAUAAAAUAUUCAAGCCUAAUAUCUUCAAGAUAAUCACUCGUACUUGGUGACUCAAUAAACCCUUGUGCAAUCCAAAGAUGGAUUAAUCUUUUCACAUCAAUCACAUAAUCUUUUGGAUAUAUUGCGCAAUAUGCAAAACAAUGCUUCAAAUGUGAUGGGAGAUGAUCAUAACUUAGCUUCAGUGUUGGCAUAAUAUCAUUACCAUCUUGACUUAUUCUUGAGAGUUCUUUUGUUAAAAAGGGCAGCCACUCAGUUUCUGGAUUUUUCGCAUACAAGAGACUUGCGAUGGUUUUUAUUGCAAGAGGAACUCUAUGACAUUUCUUCAAAAUCUCCUUUCCCAUCUCUCUUACAUUUGCAUGUUUUGGCUCCUGCCCCUCAAGUGCUACAUGCAAAAACAAAGACCAAGACUCAUCCGGAGACAACCCUUCCAAAACAUGUGGUGCCAUUGUGCUAGAUAUAUCUGCCACCUUUUUAGAGCGAGUGGUUAUUAAUAUCUUACUUCCACUAGAGCCACCCACUAAUAAUCUCUUUAAAUUCUCCCAUUUUUCUCUAUUCUCAUUCCACACAUCAUCUAGAACAAGCAGAUAUUUCUUCCCACUAAUAAUUUUUUCCAGUCUAGACUUCAAUGCUUCUAACCCAAGAUCUUCCGGUCUAUUCCCUGUUGCAGACUCUAGAAUCUUUCCAACAGUCAUUUUCACAUCAAAAGGUUCUGAAACACACACCCAUAUUCUUGGCUCAAAUGAAUUCUUAAUCAAUUCAUCAUUGAAUAUGAUUUGAGCAAGAGUGGUCUUCCCUAAUCCUCCAAUUCCAACAAUUGAGAGGACUGAAACACACUCUUCACCAUUGGAAGACAAUACAAGUUCUGUAAUUGCCUUUUUGUCACCCUCUCUCCCAAUAACCACUUCAGGUAAAGAGGACGUAGUUUGAUCCCUCCAUACAAUACUCUCCUGAUCCGUACGAAACUCUAAAUUAAAUUUUCUGUCAGCUUCAAUAUCAGCUAGCCUCUCCCUAAUCUCCUUAACUUUAUGACCCAUUUUAAAACCAUAAACAAGUUGAUUUGAAGACGAAAAGAAGAGACUUACCUCCUUUGUCAUUCUAUUUCCAGUCAUCACUCGGCGCCUUAGAGCUUCUGUGGCGAAGUCAUCUACCAAGUCAUCAGCAUCAUAAACAACUUCUUCUAGCCUCUCAAGCCAGCCUUUCACUUGACGGUUAAGUUUCUGCUGCUCCUCAGCAUCCAGAAGAACGUUGCGAAUACUAGAAACUGUGGCCUCAAGUUUCUUAAGCUCACCUUUGACGCCCCACCACAAUCCGAUCUCAUGAAGGGCUCGAGAACCCAGCUUGGUAAUGAUAUCUCCGACAACGUUAGAGAGAACUCCGUCGGCCAUUUUGGGCGUUUUGGUUUGAUUGUAAAAGGAUGAAAUGUUGCUGUGAAGAAGAAGACGGUGACAACAAAUGACUGAUUUAAAGAAAAAAAAAGAAGUGGAGGAAAAAGCAUUCUUCUAAAUGAUUAUCUUCGGUCGGUCAACUUUGAACGGCGCUGGUUUGCUUUUUAAAUAAUAUAUUAAUACAUUUAUAUAUAUACAGAUGGAAAGAAAGUUAUUUUUUAAAAAAUAAUUUUAUUUUUUAUUAGAAAUGCAUUUUUUUUAAUUAAAUUUGAUGAGUGAUUCAAAUAUUAAAAAAUAUAAAAUAUAUAUAUACAGAUGGAAAGAAAGUUAUUUUUUAAAAAAUAAUUUAAUUUUUAAUAGAAAUGUAUUUUUUUUAAUUAAAUUUGAUGAGUGAUUCAAUUAUUAAAAAAUAUAAAAUAUAUUUUCGAUAUUGCUGAGAUUAAAUUGAUGUUGUAGUCGGAAUGAAACUGUACUAUAAUUGGUUAGAAUUUAUAAGAGAGGAAAUAUGAGAUAGUGGUGGGUACCUAUAGCAGCAAGGCAGUGAUGAGUACCUAUGACAGCUACUGUGACGCUAAAGUCAGUAUUUUGAAAAAUAGAAAAAAUUUAAUGAAUAACUUAGAGUUUGAGUAGUAUCAUAGAUAAUGUACCUUUAUCUUCGUAAUCGUUCUCCUUUUAUACUAUGAGAAAAUGUAUAUAAAUAUAUCAUGAAACAACAGGGCCUAAACUGGUCCAAAUAACUUUUGGACUCACUUUUCACUUGACCCAAAAUGGUUAAUUCAGGUUAUUUAGUAGUUUCGUGCUAGCUAUUAUAUACAAUUCCAAAAUCUCCCGAUGUGGGACAGCUUUCGCAGCGGAAGCGAACAGCUGACCAUUACACUCGAUCCCGCUAAAUUUGCGACGUCCUCGUCGCAGUUGAAUUGGAUACAAUUGCUAAUUAGGACCGAACCCUUAGGUAUUGUGGUUCGCUAGUACGUCGGGCGGCUCCACCUCGUCUCACACGGGUAGCUCUUUCCUUACAGGCUCACUAGCUCUACAUAAUUUGUUUGAUCUAGAGUGGCUCUAAUACCAAUUGAAACAGUCAGGUCCAAACUUGCUCAAAUAACUUUUGGACCCACUUUCUACUUUGCCCAAAAUAGUUAAUCUAAGUUAUUUAGUAGUUUUGUGCUACCUAUUAUAUACAAUUCCGAUUUUCUAUAAUCUCCCGGUGUGGGACGGCUUCCGCAGUGGAAGCAGGUAGCUGACCGUUGCACUUGGUCCCGCUAAAUUUGCGACGUCCUCGUCGCAACUGAAUCGGAUACAAUUGCUAACCAGGAUCGAACCCUUAGGUAUUGUAGUUCGCUAGUACCUCGAGCGGCUCCACCUCGUCUCACACGGGUAGCCCUUUCCUCGUAGGCCCACUAGCACAAUUUGUAUCUAGGGUGGCUCUAAUACCAAUUGAAACAGUCGGGUCCAAACUGGCCCAAAUAACUUUUGGACCCACUUUCCACUUGUCCCAAAAUGGUUAACUCAAGUUAUUUAAUAGUUUCGUGCUAACUAUUAUAUACAAUUUCGAUUUUCUAUAAUCUCCCAAUGUGGGACAGCUUCCGCAGCGGAAACAGGUAGCUGAUCGUUAUAAUCGGUCUCGCUAAAUUUGCGAUGUCCUCGUCGCAACUGAAUUUGAUACAAUUGCUAACCAAGACCGAACCUUUAGGUACUGUGGUUCGCUAGUACCUCUGGCGGCUCCACCUCAUCUAACACGGGUAGCUCUUUCCUCGCAGGCCCACUAGCUCUGCACAAUUUGUCUAACUCAGGGUGGCUCUGAUACCAAUUAAAAUAGUCGGGCCUAACCUGCCCCCAAAGGUUUGACUUUUGAAUCUGUGAGCGGACUUUAGGCCGUCGAACCUGCUGCCGAAAGUGCCCUGUCCAGCCUUUUUCAGCUUGCUUCCUACGUGUGUUCUUCUAUGUUCUUAGGGGGUAGUUUUAAGUGUUGUAAAAGUUAUAUUUGGUUCCUCAUUUAAGUCCAUCUGUGUAGGAUCGGACUUGGAAGAUCGUAGAAACUUGCAGUAAGAUAACUGUAUCAAAAUUAGGCGUGCGUCAGCCAGAGGUGAGUAGAACUAAACUCAAUUAUUAUUUUAAAAAAACCAAAUGUUUUAAGCAUACUUAUGCAUCACAAAUGCUAUGUAUAUAUAUGAUUAUGGUGCUUUGCAUUAGAAUUCACGAAUAUAAUGCAUUGCAUAAUUUAUUAUUGUUGUUGAUGUAUGUUAGAUGACCUUCUAGCCCUCAAGUAUGUUAUGGUAUGUUAUGACGGAUAUGGAAAGAGCAGGACUUGCUCAUUCUACGCCCUUGGCACUGUGUAAGGGAAAGACCAGGGUUACACAUUUUAUAUCCGUGGCACUAUGGAUAUGUUAUUUUAUGUUUAAGAGGAAAUUCUGAAAAGCGCUUGUCGUGGGCUGGGCACUAUUGGAAUCUAUAGAGAGUCACUGGUGACAAGUCUAUCUUGAUAUGAAUUGUUUGUGUUGUGACACAUUUAUACGAUCAUAUGUCUUAUUAAACUGCUUUUGUUAUGUUUCUGCUCACUAGCCUCUUAUAGUUUAUCCCUUUUCCCUAACUCCAGAUUUGCAGGAUCAGAAUUAGCUCGAGAGGUGGGCCGAGGUGUUGGUAUAGUCCAUUGUAAUAACAUAGUUGUGGACAUGUAUUAAUUUGUGAAUUUGAAUUGUGUUUUGCGUGAGUUUUCUUUAUAAUCCUUAUUUUAUGAUUUUUUUAUGUAAAAGAUUUUAAGUCUAAAUUAUGUUUGAACUAAGCUUGAGGUGUGUAAUAUUGACUAUACUAAAACAUUUGAUGAGAGCUCUAGUAUGAAUUUAUGUUUCCAGUUCUGAUACAUGCGCAGGUCAAGUUUUUGUUAUUGAAAUAGAAGUGUUUUUACAUGUUUGUGUGAUUAUGUAUGGAUCUAUAUCAAAUGUAACAGGAUGUAUAGUAAAUUUGCUAUGAGUUCCGGCAACCUUAGAUUGAUCUGAACCGUAGUGCCGAUAGCGGUCUGAGUUGCAGAUGUGGCUCCGAAUUGAAUUAUUUAACAAAGUAUGGGGUAUCAAAGGAAAAAAGUGAAAACUUUGGGUAUUGACUUCAUUCCUUUGGAGGUUAGUCUGAAGGACACUAUUGAAAGCUUGAAGGAUAAGGGCUUCCUCAGCAUUUAAUAUUGGCUGUUGGAUAAAAAGCAAUGCAAAUAUUACAUUGGCUUUUCAGGUUCAUUGGCUUUAGCUUCCUAUUGGUGCAAGAUAUUAUUACCCUUCAGGAUUGUCUUUAUUUGAAAAAAGUGGACCAAUACAAUUUGUAAAAUACAUAACAAUUUGUAUACAACUGUAUAUAAACAUAUUACAUGUGUCACUUGUUUCACUGGUGGAUGAAGUUCAUUUCAGGUCUGAUUUCUGAGGAAGUUACUCUUUUUUUUAUCUGAUUUCAGGUCUCAUUCCAAAGAAUAAGACACAAGAAAAAGAAAAUGUGUAAUCCACCAAUUCAGAUUUAGUUCAGUCUUUUCAAAGUAUAUUCAGAUUUCAUAGCCAACUCAUUUUAUGCUGUAUCUGAUUUCUGGUUCUUGUGAUAUGCUCUUACAAAAUUCAUCUAAAAUUCAGUGCUCUUACACAUUCUGGAAACAACAAUUUAUACAAAAACUGAUUUCUCAGGGAAAAAAAGGAAAAUAAUGUUAUUUGCAUUGAAUGAACAAAUGAUUAGCAUAGUAGCAAAACUACUUAAAAUAAGAGAAAUUAGAAACAAAAAAGCAGCACAGCAUGAGUCUGGGCAUUGCAUGUUGGAUGAUCGAAACAGAGGUGUUGAGUGAGAAUCUAGAUCCUGAAAUACGCGGGCCUGCAAAAAGUCAUUCGAAGAAGUGUGCAAAACUCCCAUCAUUCAGCUUUCAUUUCUGCUUCCGGCUUAGCAGGAUUACUAUGUACUGAGUUGUUUUCUGAACUGUGACAGAUAGGAAACUUAUCCCGGUGAGAUUUUAUUCCGGAAUGUCAAGGGCACAAUGCGUAGCUUAGUGAAUCUCCAUCAUCUUUGCCGCAGGUGUAAGUUAUGAAGAUAAUUGCUAGAUGGAGGAUUUUCACACUAGUAAUUUAGCAUCUGUUUCAAGCCAGAAUCAUCAUUAAAUCACAGAUUUGCUUUACAAGCAAUAACUAGGGGGAUUUCAUAUUACAAGUAGUCUUUAUAACUUACUGAAUCGCUUAUUUUUGAAGACAGAGGAUGAGGAGAGCUCACGUUUUGUUUUUACUGCACAAAUACUGCAUAUGGAAUCUGAGUGAGGAGUUACUCUCUAAAAAUUUCAAAAGUGUUUUUGAGAGGUACCUUUGCGUGAAUCUUCUGGCAACAGACUCAAAGUAGUCAUCCAAUAAGUAGAAAUUCUUCUAUGGAAGGCCACACACAUUAAUAGCAGUUCUUUCAAGGCGAAUUAUGCCAAGCCAAUCAAGGAAUUGCUGCCAUGGCAUGUAGUUGUGGUUUCUUAAUGUGUUCGAGUAACUUCUGCACAAGGAAUCAAAUUAAUCUUUAAAUCCGUGAAAUUAAAAGGGAUGCAGAAUUACAAAACUAAUAAUAAUAACAAUAAUAAUAAGAUGGAUAGAAGCAUGACCUGCCAAUGCAUGAUUUCGGCAAGCCUUUGCAUUGGUUCACCACUUCCCAAUGUAGUAAGAAUUUCAACAGCAUCCCAGAAUUUCAAUAGCAUCCCAAUGAUAACUCAUACUUGAUGAGCCUUGAUGGAGAAAUGAAAGUCCAGUUAAAAUUAUUCAAAAUGCAUAUCCACUCGCCAAGAACAUAUGCACCCAGAAAUCUCCUUAAAUAAAUAAGGUUUUAACAAGGUGAAUGCUUUGCUUUUUCUUUUUUUGGGAAGAACUUCAAAGUUAACAAAGGUAAGACUAUUGAGUUUUGAUGUUUACCUUGUGUGGGAGAAAUAUGAUGUUUACCCAGAAAUCACAUUUUGUUUUCAGAAUAAAUGGUUUUUUCCACCUCUGCAUUUGACAUUGAAAAAACUUAAAUAAAUACCAAACAAUUAAGAUAUGCUGCUGAUUUAAUUUACAAAGGAAUGGUGCAUGUGAAGAGAAAUUGACAUAUGACAAUCACCUUCAGCACAAUCAAUUCUCAUCCUAAUUUAGAAGACUAAUCAAACUAAUUGCAACAAUAACAUCUUCUCCACGACGUCUACUACCUUCCGCACAUAGAGUCAAAAUUAAUCCGUUAUAUCCAUGAAAAGAAUGAAGGCAGAAUUACAUUAAAAAAUGAAUAAAAAUGAUGGCUAAAAGAAAGACCUGCCAAUGCAUUUAAGAUCUCUUUGAAUUUGUUUCCCACAUCCCAAUUUAUUAGAAUUUCAGGUGACUAAAAAACAAAUAAAUGAUUCCUCUAGCUUGAUGAGCCUGCAUAUGUGGGAAAAAAGUGUUAAAAUAUUAUCAUAAAGCAAAUAAAUUCUCAAUUAUAAAAAAAAAAAUAAAAGAAAAAAAAAGGUACUCUGUAUAUUGAUAUUGAUUGUAAAGAAAUAAUGACAAAAGGAUACUUACGACUCAAAGGUAAUACACUGCUCAUUUUGGAAGAAACACAUCCAACACUUCAAAACUUAUCCUUCAUUGAUCUGUGUAAAUAGAAUCAUAGAGUGAAGAUUUUCUCAUGUAAGUUUAAUUUGCAAAUUGGAGAGAAAAAGGACCAACUUACCGAAGCUUCAUCAUCCAGUAGAUAGCGGCCCUCUCUUUGAAUUCUUUGGUCAUCAACUUCAAUAUUUGGGAUGUGAGAAAUGAAAGCCCAAUCCGCACCCUCUCUAUUUCCACAUCUUUCCUUCAAUUGGGGACAGUCAUUGAUAUUCAAUUCUCGUAACGAGGUGAGGGAACGCAUCUCUUGAGGCAGACACUUUAUUGCCGGACAAAUGUCAAUGGUUAGUCUUUGAAGACAAGCGAGAUUCCGCAGUCCAUCUGGAGGUAGAGAUUCGAGCUCUU